AUUGAACGCUGGCGGCAUGCUUUACACAUGCAAGUCGAACGGUAGAGGGGGCAACCCCUUGAGAGUGGCGAACGGGUGAGUAAUGCAUCGGAACGUGCCCAGUCGUGGGGGAUAACGCAGCGAAAGCUGUGCUAAUACCGCAUACGAUCUCUGGAUGAAAGCGGGGGACCGAAAGGCCUCGCGCGAUUGGAGCGGCCGAUGUCAGAUUAGGUAGUUGGUGGGGUAAAGGCUCACCAAGCCAACGAUCUGUAGCUGGGCUGAGAGGACGACCAGCCACACGGGGACUGAGACACGGCCCAGACUCCUACGGGAGGCAGCAGUGGGGAAUUUUGGACAAUGGGCGCAAGCCUGAUCCAGCAAUGCCGCGUGCAGGAAGAAGGCCUUCGGGUUGUAAACUGCUUUUGUACGGAACGAAAAGGUCUGGGUUAAUACCCUGGGCACAUGACGGUACCGUAAGAAUAAGCACCGGCUAACUACGUGCCAGCAGCCGCAGUAA
This 496-nucleotide ribosomal RNA is filed under the name uncultured bacterium. Its description in RNAcentral is "partial 16S ribosomal RNA". It matches the Rfam family "Bacterial small subunit ribosomal RNA", at positions 29 to 523 of the family's 1533-position model. The record is from RNAcentral.